Molecule: RNA transcript, 5503 nt
Organism: Zeugodacus cucurbitae (melon fly)
Lineage: Eukaryota; Metazoa; Arthropoda; Insecta; Diptera; Tephritidae
Exons: 4
Source: RefSeq, a predicted model, not a curated record
CUAAACAAAUUUAGUUCACAUUCGAAGGUCUAUUAGUGAAGUUGAAAUAUAUUUUUCUCAACAAUUAGCAAAAGGAAAAAUACAAUAAAAAUGAGAUUAGUGUGUUUAUUAAUGGUGUUAAUCGUAUGUAUAGGAAUUGAAGCUGCGAAUAUUCCUAUUAAUAGGAAUCCACUAACAUUACGUGUAACGAACACAAACUCAAAGAGCCUUAAAGAUAUUUCCGACACUGAAACUAACAAACGCGAUGCAGAUCUCAUUCCGGGGGAACUUCCGGUCUACCGAAUUAUGGUUACAAAGCCAAACUGUCCUCUAGAUCAUCGCGGAAAGUGCAUUCCGGAAUCUACGACUAAGAGCAAAUAGUAGAAGAAAAUUUGUAACACGAAGCUACCAAAGUGUCUAUCAUCGCGGAAAGUGCAUCAAUUGAGGAACUAGAACGCAGAUAUUUCGCAAACGGUGGAGACUUUAUUAAACAAUGUACAACAACGAAAUAAAUGUGGAGUAUUCCUUGGGUAUUCCUUAGAAAUAUAAUUAGCGAUCUUUUAAAUAAAUAUAUUUUAUUACAAAUAGUAGGCAGUAUAUUAUAGGAUUUUUUUUAAGUUUGUGUUGAUAAUUACGUUUAUUAAAAAAAAAUGAAAUUUUACUACCUUGAUUAACUUUGUACGAUAUAUGGUACUAUGGUUUAUGGUCUAUAAAACCUUUCUUUCAUGUACAAAUAGUUACAAAAGCAAGUGAAUUUUUGGUAUUUCUAAAAUUAAUAUAUACAAAAAUGUGAAGAAUUUUAAAAAAUGAAUUACAAAUUCUCGUUCUUUAGUUUCGAUUGUAAUAGCAAUAUACAUCACAGUGAUUUAAAAAUCAUCACAUAUACUAAGGCCGAUUAAUCGGUCGGACUCUGUUGAAUACAUUUCUACUCAGCACCAGCUGAUUUUAAAUUAUACGUAGACUUAUAUUACAUUUACGUAAAUCCAAAUUGCCCUAUAGAUCAUCACGGAAGGUGCAUAGAAACCAGCACUAUAAUAAAUAGAAAAUAUAUCGAAUUUGAAUGCGACAAUCAAACCACCGAGGAAAGUACAAAUUUUUAAAUGUGUGAAGAUCCGACUGUCACUUUUCAAUGGGAUUAUUUCUUCAUGCUGUUAUGGCAUUUUGUCUAACGGCACUCUGCAUGCUCGAGGUGCUUAAGUGUUUCUUCGUACGCUUAACUCUUGCAUGAAACACUAUAGGAGAAGGUGCUACAGGUCAUAAUUUGUUCCAAAAGAGCUAGUUUAUUUAACGCUUACCAAAAUAAGUUACCAGAAAUUUAAAUGAAAUGUCAUCGUUCUUUAAUUUACGCCAUCAGUUCAAUGUUCUAUAAAAAAUAAUGCAGAUUAUCUGUUACAGUUUUUGAUGCAAGAGGAAAUUUAUCACCUCAAGUGCAGAUAGCAAAUAGAUCCCAUAUUUCAUUUCGUAGAAAAAUGUAAGAAAUUUCAUUUUAAGAAAUAAUCAAAUCUUCGGCAAUAAGGAAAUGUUAAAUUUGAAUAAAUUUAUCAACAUACAUAAGUCCGCAUUUACAUAUGUGUAAGUAGAAUUAUAUAUUUUUAAAUUUGUUUGUAAACCUCACUGAUAAUGAAUGGAAUUUUAACAAAAGUAGAAUUUACAACACCAAAUGUAUGAAAAAUUAGAUCCAAAUUUGUUGGUGACAGACGGCAGCUAAGCGAGUUUGAAACACUCUUAAACAGCUGAUUGGCAACAAUAUAUUCAGUUUGGUAGAAUAAAAUUUAAUAGAACUAUUAGUAUCCAUUCUGAUCAAAAUUGAUUUGAAGAUUCAGUAUACUUAAAUAGAUUAGAUAAAAUGAGGUCAUCUUAAGCUCGAAGCUUUCAUAGUGAUUAUUUUCUUUCAAUGAAUUGAAAUUGAAGUCAAGAUUGGGCAAUUGUGGCAACAUUAGGUAGAGAUACAUAUCAAAGAAAGAUAUAUAUAUCAAAGAAAUCCAAAUCGAAACCACCUGUAGUAUACAUGAUUAAAUCUAAUAAAUAUGGAAUGAAAUAAAUAUGUGUUUGUGUAACAAAAAAGAUGAAAAUAUCAAUAAUUGUUUUUUUUUUAUUUAAGAAAUACAUCAGCUCUUCGAAGGCCGAGUUAAACGUGCAUAUUAUAUGUAUGAAUCCGUUUGUUUAUGGUGAUAACGAAAAUUUACUUAAUGUACAUAUGUGUGUAUAAAUUUAACUAAAGAUUUGUGAAAUAAAACUGAAAUGAUUAAAUGCUAUUUAACGCAACGCAACGGUUAAACAAAUUUAGUUGACAUUCGAAGGUCUAUUAGUGAAGUUGAAAUAUAUAUUUUUCUCAACAAUUAGCAAAAGGAAUAAUACAAUAAAGAUGAGAAUAGUGUGUUUAUUAAUGGUGCUAAUAAUAUAUAUAGCAAUUGAAGCUGCGAAUAUUCCUAUCAAUAGGAAUCCGCUAACAAUACUUUUAAGGAACACAAUCAGCCGUGAAGUCGACAAAAACGAUACGACACAAAUAACGUCCUUCCACCUUUACGUAAAGCCAAAUUGCCGUAUAAAUCAUCGCGGAGAGUGCAUAGAAACCAGUACUAUAAUAAAUGGAAAAUAUAUCGAAUUUGAAAGCGAUAAUCCACCAACCACCGAUGAAAUUACAUCAAGACAGAAAGCAAUAGACGAAUCAUCCGCAAUUGACGGCUGCAGAUUACACCGACCAUACGAAGCAAAAUUGUUUUCCGAGACCAAGAAGUGAUCUCAUGUUUACAUUUCCAAAAGGAAGAGAACAUUUGAGUGAAAGCUUACCGAUAUAUUAAACAAUACACAACAGCGAAACAAAAUUAGUAAAGGUUCGAGAGUCGCUUAGUGAAGUUGAAACAGAAACCAAAAACAAAAAUACUUUAAAGAUGAACUGCGGGUGGUUUUUAAUAGCACUAACCGUAUAUAUUGGAAUUGUAGGUGCACAAUAUUUAAAUUUGGUUGUAAAGCAAAACUGUCCUACAGAUCAUCUCGGAAGGUGCAUUAACCGCAACACUAUAAUUGAUGACAUCUAUAUAGCAUCUACGACUAAGAGUGUUCCAACCAAAAACCACCGACCAUAUGAAGUAAAAUUAUUUUCCGAGACCAAAAAGUGAUCUCAUGUUUACAUUUCCAAAAUGAAGAAAGCAUUUGAGUGAAAGCUUACCGCUAUAUAAAUAAAAUUAGUAAAGGUUCGAGAGUCGCUUAGUGAAGUUGAAACAUAUAGUUUCGCUCAACAUAAACCAAAAACAAAAAUACUUUGAAGAUGAACUGCGGGUGCUUAUUAAUAGCCCUAACCGUAUAUAUUGGAAUUGUAGGUUCAGUCCUCAUUCCGAGGAGAGAUCCGCUCUACUUAAAUUUUGUUGUAAAGUCAAACUGUCUACUAAAGUCUGUAAACUAAAGAUUAUCGCGGAAAUCGUGCAUUGAAAUCGGCACUAUAAUUGAUUACUUCUGUAUUGCAUGCUCGAGUGAAGAAAAACAAGAAAAUACAAUUUUUAACACGAAGCGUCGAUCAGCACGGAACGAGCAUCAAUGGAAGAACUCAAAUAUUUCGCAAACAGUUGAGACUUGGGAUUUUUUUUUUUUUGAAAUGUGAAAGGCUAUUGUAGUUGUUGUUAAUGGGAAACACGACAAAAUACUAAAUAAUUGAAAGUUUCGAGAUGAUUGAUUUCGAGAAUCUAUAAAACGGGAGAUCUCACAACCUGUGCCAAUUACCGUGGGAUAAGCCUCCUAAAUAUCGCCUAUAAGGUUCUAUCGGGCGUACUGUGUGAAAGACUAAAGCCCACCGUCAACAAAAUGCUUGAAUCUUAUCAGUGUGGCUUUAGAAUUGGAAAAUCCACAACGGACCAGAUAUUCACCAUGCGCCAAAUCUUUGAUGUAUAUUAUAGAAAAUGUCUUAAAGUUUGUGUUGUUAAUUUUGCCUAUUUUCACAAAAUAUGAAUAAAUGGCUACGAACAUAUACUCUACAAAAUAAAUUUCUACUCACAACGUGUUGUUUAUAAAUAUCAGCUAUAGCUUAUCUCGUUAAAUAAAUCAACGGAAAGAGGGCAUACAUAUACAUAUAAUAUGAGAAUAUAUUGAUCAACAGUACAUAUAGACGCAAUAUAUGUAUAUAUAAUUAUAAACAUUUGUUUGUUUAUAAACCUCACUGAUAAUGAAAGUUAAUUAUGCGACUGAAUCGUUUUUCGAAAUUAUAGUAGUUGUCACUCUAAAGUUAUUGUAAUUAUCGCUCAAUGGUAAUAUGAGUAUUCCAAGCUUUUAAAAUAUAAAACUCAAAAAUUCUUUCGAAGAAAUUAUAAGCUUUCAAUCUAUUAAAAUUUAAGUCAAGAAUUGGACCAGAGCAUCUAAUGCGUCCUCCGAAUCUUACAAACAAAUAUCAGCUCUUCGAAAAUAAAAAUAAUUCAUAUUGUUAAUUUUUUUCUAUUUUUCAGCAGCAAUAUCAUAUUUGCAUACAUAUAUUACUUUCUACUAAAAGGAGAGUAUUAGAAAUCAGUGAACAUUUGAGCGAAAGCUUCCUUAUUAUAUAUAUUAUUAUAUAUAUUAUUAUAUUAUUAUAAAUAUUGUACAACGGCUAAACAAAUUCAGUAAAGAUUCAGGAGUCGAUUAGUAAAGUUGAAACAUAAAUUACCUUUCAACAAAAACCAAAAACAAAACACUUUAAAGAUGAGAUUAAUGUGCUUAUUAAUGCUACUAAUUUUAUAUAUUGGAAUUGUAGCUACAGAAAAUCCGGGACGGUGGCACAAAAAAAUUUUUAACACCAAGCCACGGAUCAACUGCCAAAGAGUCGACCAUCGCGGGCAGUGCAUUAAUGGCGGAACUAGAACGCAGAUAUUUCGUAAUUGAGUGAUUGUGAAUAAUAGUGGAAUUUCAUCCAAUAAAAUCAAAUAUUCAGCGUAAAAAAUUAGUCGAAAUAACUGCUGUAUUAUGUAUAUAUAUUAAAGUGUUUCAUGAAGUUUAAUAUGUAUAUCAAGCGCAAAAGCAAUAUAUUUCAAGCACAAAAGCAAUAUAUUUCAAGCACACUCAAAAAUUUCGUAACUUAUAUACAUAAAUAUGAUAUGGCUUGAAAAAGGUCCAAAGAGUGAAAGCUUCAUAUAUUUGAAUUAUUACUGCGUUGGAAACGCACAAGUGAAACAAAUUUAGUAGACACUUUUAAGCCACUGCGUAAAGUUUAAAUUCAAUUCUUAUCGCUCACUAAGAAAAUUGGUCCAUAAAUAUGAGACUCAUAUACUUAUUAAUCUUAUGUAUCUGUCUCGUAGCGGCAGAAGAGAAUAGUCCGCAAAAUACACCGAUCAUACAACAGAGAAGUCUUUUCAUUGGGAGACUAAGGCAAAGAUGUGGAAGAGUCAACCAUCGGGGCGAAUGCAUUGGCAGAAUUGCUAAUUAAAUAAUCAAUAUAAAUAUAUAUAAAAUCAUCAAGAUUUAUAAAAAGAAACCAAUUUAAAUGAAAAGAAUUUAAUGUAUACAAUUCUGAGGCCACUUAACAAACAAACAUGAAAUAAAUAUGAAAAUCAAACAAAAGUGA